CCUACGGGAGGCAGCAGUGAGGAAUAUUGGUCAAUGGACGGAAGUCUGAACCAGCCAUGCCGCGUGCAGGAAGACGGUACUGUGAGUUGUAAACUGCUUUUGUCCGGGGGCAAACGCAGAGACGCGUAUCUGUCUGAAAGUAUCGUACGAAAAAGGAUCGGCUAACUCCGUGCCAGCAGCCGCGGUAAUACGGAGGAUUCAAGCGUUAUCCGGAUUUAUUGGGUUUAAAGGGUGCGUAGGCGGUCCGAUAAGUUAGCGGUGAAAUCCCGAGGCUCAACUUCGGAAUGGCCUCUGAUACUGUUCGGCUAGAGAGUAGGUGCGGUAGGCGGAAUGUAUGGUGUAGCGGUGAAAUGCUUAGAGAUCACACAGAACCCCGAUUGCGAAGGCAGCUUACCAAGCUACUUCUGACGUUGAGGCACGAAAGCGUGGGGAGCGAACAGGAUUAGAUACCCUUGUAGUC
RNAcentral lists this ribosomal RNA (460 nucleotides) under uncultured bacterium. RNAcentral describes it as "partial 16S ribosomal RNA". It matches the Rfam family "Bacterial small subunit ribosomal RNA", at positions 338 to 795 of the family's 1533-position model. The record is from RNAcentral.